Molecule: unclassified non-coding RNA, 296 nt
Filed under: uncultured Entoloma
Lineage: Eukaryota; Fungi; Basidiomycota; Agaricomycetes; Agaricales; Entolomataceae
Description: sequence contains ITS2
Rfam family: 5.8S ribosomal RNA (bases 1-52)
Source: RNAcentral
AACGCACCUUGCGCUCCUUGGUAUUCCGAGGAGCAUGCCUGUUUGAGUGUCAUGAAAUUCUCAACCUUUCUGGCUUUUGCUAGUCAGGCUUGGAUUAUGGGAGCUGCUGGCUUUUUGAAGUCGGCUCUUCUAAAAUGAAUUAGCAAGAUCAUUGCUGCUCAUCAUUGAUAUGAUAAUUAUCUAUAUCAUUGCGAGUCAGUUUCCUUCAUUGGAGGAUUUUGCUCAUAACGGUCUUUAGCAAGACAACAUUUGACCAUUUUGACCUCAAAUCAGGUAGGACUACCCGCUGAACUUAA